Molecule: transfer RNA, 53 nt
Filed under: Wellcomia siamensis
Lineage: Eukaryota; Metazoa; Nematoda; Chromadorea; Rhabditida; Oxyuridae
Description: tRNA-His
Source: RNAcentral
GCUUUUUUAGUUUUUUAGAAUUUUUAAUUGUGGUUUAAAAGGAGAUAAGCUUU